This 280-nucleotide ribosomal RNA is filed under the name uncultured bacterium. Its description in RNAcentral is "partial 16S ribosomal RNA". It matches the Rfam family "Bacterial small subunit ribosomal RNA", at positions 338 to 635 of the family's 1533-position model. The record is from RNAcentral.
CCUACGGGACGCAGCAGUGGGGAAUAUUGCACAAUGGGGGGAACCCUGAUGCAGCGACGCCGCGUGAGUGAAGAAGUAUUUCGGUAUGUAAAGCUCUAUCAGCAGGGAAGAAAAUGACGGUACCUGACUAAGAAGCCCCGGCUAACUACGUGCCAGCAGCCGCGGUAAUACGUAGGGGGCAAGCGUUAUCCGGAUUUACUGGGUGUAAAGGGAGCGUAGACGGACGUGCAAGUCUGAUGUGAAAGUCCGCGGCCCAACUGCGGGACUGCUUUGGAAACUG